RNAcentral lists this long non-coding RNA (531 nucleotides) under Mytilus galloprovincialis (Mediterranean mussel). The record is from RNAcentral. Lineage: Eukaryota; Metazoa; Mollusca; Bivalvia; Mytilida; Mytilidae.
GGAAAAUGUUUUGAAAUUCUUUUUUUUUUAAUUAAAAGGGUAUUAAAACUGUAAAGUUUAUAUAAAGGUUCAAUUUUCUGUUUUAAAAAAAAUCAAACAAAUCUGUUAGUUUUGUUUAUAAAAAGAAAAAUAUUAACACUGAUAAGUCUUAUGUGGACGAAACGCGCGUCUGGCGUACUAAAUUAUCAUCUUGGUACCUUUGAUAACCUUUUAACACGACCCCCAGUAAAAUUUGAUAACAAAAAAAUCAAAAGCAUUAAACAUUUCACAUUAAAAUUUGAAAAAAGACAUCCUUAUUUAAAAAUUUGAAAAAAAGACAUCCCAAGUUAAAAAUUUGAAAAAAAGUAAAGCAUCGAACGUUAACAUUUGACAAAUAAAUCCAUCUCAUAAAAUUUCAUAAAAACGGUAGAAUAAUUAUAAUAAUUUUUUUUAAUAAAAACAGUGAAACAUCCCUCUUUCUCUAGAAUUGUUAAAAGCAAUACAAUAUCCCCUGUUAAAAUUAACAAAUCAUCGACAAUAAAAAUUUGAUAA